This 320-nucleotide ribosomal RNA is filed under the name uncultured Cercozoa. RNAcentral's name for it is "SSU rRNA". The stretch from base 104 to 320 matches the Rfam family "Eukaryotic small subunit ribosomal RNA", at positions 737 to 955 of the family's 1831-position model. Lineage: Eukaryota; Cercozoa. The record is from RNAcentral.
GAUUUCUGGUACGGCGCACUUGGCCCGCUUCGGUUACGGAGUUGAGUGCCGGUGUGCGCCUGCCAUCCUUCUGGGGUACGACUCUCCCUUCACUGGGUUGGGCCGGAAUCCAGAUCAUUUACUUUGAAAAAAUUAGAGUGUUUAAAGCAGGCUUACGCUAUGAAUACAUUAGCAUGGAAUAAUAAUUUAGGACUUUGGUCUUACUUUGUUGGUUUCUAGGACUAAAGUAAUGAUUGAUAGGGACAGUUGGGGGUGCUAGUAUUCAGCGGCCAGAGGUGAAAUUCUUGGAUUCGCUGAAGACUAACUUAUGCGAAAGCAUU